UACGAAAGCGGCUAGCCUUGCUCGGAAUUACUGCGCGUAAAGCGCACGUAGGCGGAUAGACAAGUUGGGGGUGAAAUCCCGGGGCUCAACCUCGGAACUGACUUCAAAACUGUCUGUCUAGAGGUCAGGAGAGGUGAGCGGAAUACCGAGUGUAGAGGUGAAAUUCGUAGAUAUUCGGUGGAACACCAGUGGCGAAGGCGGCUAACUGGACUGAUACUGACGCUGAGGUGCGAAAGUGUGGGGAGCAAACAGG
RNAcentral lists this ribosomal RNA (253 nucleotides) under uncultured bacterium. RNAcentral's name for it is "partial 16S ribosomal RNA". It matches the Rfam family "Bacterial small subunit ribosomal RNA", at positions 524 to 776 of the family's 1533-position model. The record is from RNAcentral.